This 406-nucleotide ribosomal RNA is filed under the name uncultured bacterium. RNAcentral's name for it is "partial 16S ribosomal RNA". It matches the Rfam family "Bacterial small subunit ribosomal RNA", at positions 28 to 526 of the family's 1533-position model. The record is from RNAcentral.
GACGAACGCUGGCGGCGCGCUUAACACAUGCAAGUCGAGCGAAGCAGCGGACGGGUGAGUAACACGUGAGUAACCUGCCUUAGACAUUGGGAUAGCCUCGGGAAACCGGGAUUCAUACUAAAUGGUCUAAGAUGGACUCGCAUCCCAUUAUUUAGUUGGUAGGUAACGGCCCACCAAGGCGACGAUGGGUAGCCGGGCUCAGAGGGUGGACGGCGACAUUUGAACGAGGAAACGGUACAAGAUCUACGGGAUGGAGCAGUGGGGAAUAGUGCACAGUGGAGGGAGCUCUGAUGCAGCGAGGACGGGUGAACGAAGUAGUCUGUCGAGUCGUAAAAUUCUUUUAUAUGAGAAGCGGUACCAAACGAAAAAGCCCCGGCUAACUACGUGCCAGCAGCCGCGGUAAUAC